CCUACGGGAGGCAGCAGUGAGGAAUAUUGGUCAAUGGCCGGAAGGCUGAACCAGCCAUGCCGCGUGAAGGUCAGUGCCCUAUGGGCGUUAAACUUCUUUUGUGCGGGAGCAAUAAUGGUCACGUGUGGCCAGACGAGAGUACCGUACGAAUAAGCAUCGGCUAACUCCGUGCCAGCAGCCGCGGUAAUACGGGGGAUGCAAGCGUUAUCCGGAUUUAUUGGGUUUAAAGGGUGCGUAGGCUGUGAGGUAAGUCAGCGGUGAAAUGCUCCCGCUCAACGGGGUGAAGUGCCAUUGAUACUGCCUGGCUUGAGUGCGGAUGCCGUGGGAGGAAUGUGUGGUGUAGCGGUGAAAUGCAUAGAUAUCACACAGAACACCGAUUGCGAAGGCAUCUCACGAAUCCGCGAUUGACGCUGAUGCACGAAAGCGUGGGUAUCAAACAGGAUUAGAUACCCGGGUAGUC
This 460-nucleotide ribosomal RNA is filed under the name uncultured bacterium. RNAcentral's name for it is "partial 16S ribosomal RNA". It matches the Rfam family "Bacterial small subunit ribosomal RNA", at positions 338 to 795 of the family's 1533-position model. The record is from RNAcentral.